UGGGAACGUGCCUUUCGGUUCGGAAUAACCCAGGGAAACUUGGGCUAAUACCGGAUACGCCCUUUGGGGGAAAGAUUUAUCGUUGAAAGAGUGGCCCGCGUCUGAUUAGCUAGUUGGUAGGGUAAUGGCCUACCAAGGCGACGAUCAGUAGCUGGUCUGAGAGGAUGAUCAGCCACACUGGGACUGAGACACGGCCCAGACUCCUACGGGAGGCAG
Molecule: ribosomal RNA, 216 nt
Filed under: uncultured bacterium
Lineage: Bacteria
Description: partial 16S ribosomal RNA
Rfam family: Bacterial small subunit ribosomal RNA
Source: RNAcentral